UACAGAGGGUGCGAGCGUUAAUCGGAUUAACUGGGCGUAAAGGGCGCGUAGGCGGUAGGAUACGUGUGAUGUGAAAGCCCCGGGCUUAACCUGGGAAGUGCAUCGCAUACGGUUUUACUAGAGUAGAUGAGAGGGUGGCGGAAUUUCCGGUGUAGCGGUGAAAUGCGUAGAGAUCGGAAGGAACGUCGAUGGCGAAGGCAGCCACCUGGCAUCAUACUGACGCUGAGGCGCGAAAGCGUGGGGAGCGAACAGGAUUAGAA
Molecule: ribosomal RNA, 260 nt
Filed under: uncultured bacterium
Lineage: Bacteria
Description: partial 16S ribosomal RNA
Rfam family: Bacterial small subunit ribosomal RNA
Source: RNAcentral